RNAcentral lists this ribosomal RNA (1031 nucleotides) under Enterobacter sp. RNAcentral describes it as "bacterial SSU rRNA". It matches the Rfam family "Bacterial small subunit ribosomal RNA", at positions 77 to 1053 of the family's 1533-position model. The record is from RNAcentral. Lineage: Bacteria; Pseudomonadati; Pseudomonadota; Gammaproteobacteria; Enterobacterales; Enterobacteriaceae.
GGCUGCGUAAAGCCUAGCCAUCGUUCGGCCUUCGGUACCACAGUAGAGCUUGCUCUCGGGUGACGAGUGGCGGACGGGUGAGUAAUGUCUGGGAAACUGCCUGAUGGAGGGGGAUAACUACUGGAAACGGUAGCUAAUACCGCAUAACGUCGCAAGACCAAAGAGGGGGACCUUCGGGCCUCUUGCCAUCAGAUGUGCCCAGAUGGGAUUAGCUAGUAGGUGGGGUAACGGCUCACCUAGGCGACGAUCCCUAGCUGGUCUGAGAGGAUGACCAGCCACACUGGAACUGAGACACGGUCCAGACUCCUACGGGAGGCAGCAGUGGGGAAUAUUGCACAAUGGGCGCAAGCCUGAUGCAGCCAUGCCGCGUGUAUGAAGAAGGCCUUCGGGUUGUAAAGUACUUUCAGCGGGGAGGAAGGUGUUGCGGUUAAUAACCGCAGCAAUUGACGUUACCCGCAGAAGAAGCACCGGCUAACUCCGUGCCAGCAGCCGCGGUAAUACGGAGGGUGCAAGCGUUAAUCGGAAUUACUGGGCGUAAAGCGCACGCAGGCGGUCUGUCAAGUCGGAUGUGAAAUCCCCGGGCUCAACCUGGGAACUGCAUUCGAAACUGGCAGGCUAGAGUCUUGUAGAGGGGGGUAGAAUUCCAGGUGUAGCGGUGAAAUGCGUAGAGAUCUGGAGGAAUACCGGUGGCGAAGGCGGCCCCCUGGACAAAGACUGACGCUCAGGUGCGAAAGCGUGGGGAGCAAACAGGAUUAGAUACCCUGGUAGUCCACGCCGUAAACGAUGUCGACUUGGAGGUUGUGCCCUUGAGGCGUGGCUUCCGGAGCUAACGCGUUAAGUCGACCGCCUGGGGAGUACGGGCCGCAAGGGUUAAAACUCAAAUGAAUUGACGGGGGCCCGCACAAGCGGUGGAGCAUGUGGUUUAAUUCGAUGCAACGCGAAGAACCUUACCUACUCUUGACAUCCAGAGAACUUUCCAGAGAUGGAUUGGUGCCUUCGGGAACUCUGAGACAGGUGCUGCAUGGCCUGUC